RNAcentral lists this long non-coding RNA (1168 nucleotides) under Panax ginseng (ginseng). RNAcentral describes it as "long non-coding RNA (PGIN_LNC006122)". Lineage: Eukaryota; Viridiplantae; Streptophyta; Magnoliopsida; Apiales; Araliaceae. The record is from RNAcentral.
UUUUCAUUCGUUGAAAUCUUUACAUAAUACUUUCAUUGUCAAUGCAAUUGAAUACAUCCUUCUCGAUGUAUGUGAGGUCAAAAAUGUGUUAAAAAUGCAUGACUGUGCUUUGUAUAAUUUUUUUUAACUGGAAUAAAAAAUUGAACGGGGUCAAUUGACCCCAUAUUUUUAAUGUAGCUUCGCCACUGCUCCACGUCAACUUUCUACUUGAGCAAAUAUAUAUAUAUAUAUAUAUAUAUAUAUCCGAAUUCUUGUGGAUGAAUUAUAUUCUGCAUGGUAUCAUUAAUAUAUAUAUAGGAAUAAGGUCCAAAAAUGUCCCUAACAUUUUCACUAAUGUCUAUCGAGCACCCUAUACUUUUUUUUGUCUAAAAAUAUCCUUAACGUUAUGUUUUUUGAGUUAUUCGUGCCCCUGCCGUUGACAGCUGUGCCAACUAGACAUACAGGUGUUAAACCUUCUAUGACGUGGUUGACACAUGUCAAUAUUUGUUGAUAUUUAUUUUGUUUAUUAAUUAUUUAUUUUGUUUUAAAGAAAAAUAAAAUAAAUAAUUAAUAAACAAAAUUAAUAUUUAUAUUUAAUAUUACGUCUUCUUCCUCUUGAUGUUCGUAGUCUGCAAAAUCUGAAACCAAAACAUACUCAAAAUUCUUGACAUCAAACCAAAACAUAAAUUAAAUUCGUUCACAUCAAUUUAAACUAAUUAAUCUGAAAAAAAUUCAUGAACCCUUGGUUCAUUUUCAUAUCCGAAAAAGAAAACAACAAUUUUCGAUUCACCAAACUUUCCAACAGUUCCAAUUCAAACAACAUAGAAAAACCCUAAAUCGACAGAUCCAAUUAUUAAUGAGUUUCCUAAUCUGGUGUAGUGGUGUAGGAAAAAGAUGGCUUGAUGAGCUUUAAAUCGACUAACCCGAACGAUUGUGACGACGAAGGGACGUUAAUACCACCGGCGCCGUUAAUGGCUUGAUGAGCUUUAAAUCGACUACCACCGCCGUUAAUACCACCGCCACCCGAUCUGCGCGAGGGAGGAAGGGACGGAGUGGACUGUAAUUGGUGGGCUUUGAUCGGUGUCUGCUGCUGCUCCUUUUGUUGUUGCUAGACGAUUUCCAGAGAAGGAGAGGAGAAGGAGAGAAGGAGGAACGAUCGGUGUCUGCUGCUGCUCCUUUAGUAUUGUAG